GCCUAAGCUGGAUGCUGACUCGCUUCCCCGCCACCGACACUUUCCAGACGGCGACAAUCAACACUCGACAGCAGGUUUCUCUCGAUAGUGCAUGGUGUAGCAGCAAGUGUCUGGUAGCCAUAUGAAAAAGCAGAAGCAUUUGCCUCGAGUGGAUAUCCAAGGAAGGUGUGGUGCGCAGUGUGGCAGAGUGGCAGUGCGGCUGUGCAGUGUGGCUGACAGACCAACAGAUGCUCCUGGCAUGGCAACCGGCCAAAUCAAUUAUUCCUCUCUCAGCACGAAUUAGUCGCUGCUUCCACUGGCGGAGGUGUGAAAAGGAGUUUAGGAGCAGUGACCUGGACAGCAGUGAGCUCUGCGCCUCCCCAGCCGCCGUCUCUGGCGGGACAGAUGGAGGGGCUCUGGCUCUGGCUCUGG
Molecule: long non-coding RNA, 411 nt
Organism: Engraulis encrasicolus (European anchovy)
Lineage: Eukaryota; Metazoa; Chordata; Actinopteri; Clupeiformes; Engraulidae
Exons: 4
Source: RefSeq, a predicted model, not a curated record